CACAAUAAACAUAUGAAGGCCUGCACCGCCAAACAGGCGGCAAGGCUGGAGGUAUUUAUUACCCUUGUCUUUUGCGCCACUUGUUGUUUUCCUGGGCGGGUUUCGCCCGGCCCUCCAGGACCACAUGAUAAAACCUUUUUUUAUGCAGUUGCAAAUCAGCCGUCAGUACAACAAAUGUAAAUCAUUUA
This 188-nucleotide unclassified non-coding RNA is filed under the name soil metagenome. RNAcentral describes it as "partial internal transcribed spacer 1". The record is from RNAcentral.